CAUAGGUUAUUCUAAGUCCCAGGAUCCCAAUCAUUACACAUCUUUUUCAUGAAUCCUCUAUCUAUCCUGUGCAAAAAGUAUCUAUCAUAAUGUGAGAAAUGAAACUUAGCAACGACAAUGGGUCCCUCUGAGAAUUCAAAGAAUCUUUGGGAGUGCUGUGACAAAGAUUUGCUAAUGGGAAAAAAGAUAUUUUCACUUAGAGAUGUCCCACAAUACUCCUAUCUGUACUGGGUCAUUGUUUCCUUCAUGUCUCCAGACCACAAAUUCCAUGGGUGCUCCUUAAUUUUAGGUCCAAGCCUCUACUGGUAAUAAUGGCUUCCCUUUACAUCAGUUCUUUUCCUAGCUUCAACUUUACUGAUGAGAACGUAUUUUGUCUUCCAUAUCUGGUUCACCUGCUCUGGGAGGGAGCAGGUUCUUGGAAUCCACUCCCGGUGGGACUCUGUGGAAUAUGAGAGGCCAUCUUCUCCCUACUCCUAGACAGUGACUGCAUCAUCCUAGCAGUGAACUUGAAUUUUUGGGCACUGCCUGUCCAACUGUGCAUAGCUGGUUUCUACCCGUGACUGGUGGAGGAUUAUGGCUCACAGUGGUGAUGAUAAACUGAAGAGAGUGAGUUAUCUGAAAUCACACACCUAUGAGUUGGCAGAAAGCAGAGUGGACUGAGGCUUUCUGCAUCCUCCAAAUUUUCUACUUUUGUCUGCUGCCUCCCUUGGCCAUUCUAGAGCCUCAUGUGAUGCAAGGAUAUGAUGACAAAAAGAGCAACAAUAUCGUCUCUUGGAUGUGAAAGGGACAGUAUGCAUCCCACAAAAGGCAGAAAUUCAGAAUGAAACUGGUAAAGACAAAGCACAGAUGGCUGUGUUGCCAGGACUCGAGCCUCCCUGCUCACCCACAUGGUCCAGGUGGAUUUCAGAGGAGUCUUCACUUCCACACUCCCUCCCGUGGCCCUGCUGGCUUAAUUAGAGGGGCCAGCCUGGUCUUUCUCACGGGGCCCUGUGGGAAUGCCCUUUGAUGCUGGUGGGGAUCCUAGGGCUGACUGAGAGGAUAGAAUGAGAAGCUGGCUCCAGGGGAGUAUGUGAUCUCAGAGCUGGGUCACGGUGAGAGCAGGCACCACCUGGGAGGAUAGUUUCAUGCUAGCUGAGGCGGUCAGUCUCCACCAGGCUAGCUGCAGUCAAAUGCAGGCGUUUACCUUAGUUAAACCUUGAGUGACUGCCUGGGUACCAGCAAUGAGCAUACUUGGUGAGCCUGGGUUCCGUACCCUCAUGCCUGGUCAGCUUUCUGAAGCAGUAGGAUUGCUCAGGUUCUCUGUUCAGGCUUCCUGCUGAAACUGUUACAGAAAACGAGCGUACUGUAAUGGAGCCCAGAACCUGAUUCGUGGCUAAACCAUAGGACGGCUUUAACCCCACCCCAUUCUUACCACCCCGCCUCCUCACACCUGUCACUUAGAUCUGAGAGCACUGGCCUUUUCCCUUACUGUCUGU
This is a non-coding RNA of Manis javanica (Malayan pangolin), 1475 nucleotides long. NCBI's taxonomy places the organism in Eukaryota, Metazoa, Chordata, Mammalia, Pholidota, Manidae. The record is from RefSeq and is a predicted model, not a curated record.